GCUGGAGAGAAUGAGCUUGGAGCCGCAGGGCUUAAUCCCGCGCGGCUCAGAGAUGGGUUUCUGGACUCGCGAAGCAGCUGCAACAAGGCAUCACUCACUGUAUAAGUAUUUCCAUUUCUGAGAGCAAAAGGAAGAACUUAAGCGGGCGGCACUUGGAGUGUAAAUUGCUUUGUAGUAUUUAAAGGCAGAAUGGAUCCUGGGCAGCCGAGCUGCAACAAACCGGCAGGACUUCCUGUGAAAUCAUGACCACCAUGUGCUCUUUCAGCCUCUAUCAGUUCCUACCUCUAAGCACCUGAGAGCCAAAGCAAACCACAGGAAACCACAGGCCUUUGGAGUCAGACUGGAACUACAGCAUUGACUCUUCCGGAACUCCAGCUUACUGACUACAGAUCUUGGAACUUUUCAGCUUCCACAACCAUAAUGAAAGCCAAGCAUAUUCCAUCAUUUCCUAAAACCAAGAUAGAGCACAUAUGGGAACUUGUGAAAUAAGGAUGCCCUGCGGUUGUUUUCAGGACUGAAGACAACAGCUCCACGAUGUAUCUUUGCAUAAGAAUACACUUGUAUAAUAAGUUUUUUUUUUUAGAGAAAUUGCAUGUAUCUGCCUUAUAAACUUUUUCAUUCAUUCAUUUUCUUUCUUCCUAAUCUGUUCCAUAAAGCAAAUUUCUAACUUAUUGUUAAUCAAAAUAAUUAUUGAAAUAAUUAGUACUUUCAUAUGAUAAAGAUUAUUUUAAUCUGCAGCUACAAAAUAUGUAACUCAUUAAUAUUUAAACAAUCACAAUUUUCUAUUAACAUUAUAGCAUUUUAUCUACUACUAGAUCAGGAAUUAGCUAUUUUUUGUAAAAUUUCUUUGUAAGGCAAAGCAAUAGUAUUGUAUAUACUUUCCUAAAGAUUGUCAAGUUCAGUUUUGCUUAAAUUUAACAGUACAUGUGACACUUUCUGUUUGAAGAAUAAGUUGGUUUUAAGUUUAUACCAAACAAAAGCAUCUCUUUUGUUUUGCAAAAUCUGAAACUUUGAUCUUUCUAGUUGUGACUUCUUGUAAAUAUGUUUUAUAUAAAUAUUCUAUGAAUUGGUUAUUAACAAGGUAAAGAAAGAUUGAUAUGUAAGCUGAUUCUUAAACAUUAAUUUUCUGGAGAUAAACUUUUUUAAAAUUAUGCUUUAAAAAUAUUUUAACACAUGUUAUCAAAAAGGAACUGAAAUAUCUUAGGCAUAAAAGACAUCUCUAGAGGUCAUUAUUCAGUUUCCAGAAAGUACUGAAACUAUCUCUGACAGAUUGAUACGUUUUCUGCAUUUAUAGCUCUCUGGAGAGAGGUUCUGUAUAUUUAACAAUUCUCACUGUGAGGGAUAUUUUAAGUAUUUCAAAUUUAAAGUGCUCAUGUUUCAGAUUCAGAUUAUUAUUAUCAUCAUCAUUAUUUUGGUUCUGGCUUCAGUAAAAAUGUGAAAAACACUUUUCCAUCUUCUGAUAAUAUUUCAUAUUUAUAAAAUUAUUAUUAAGUUAUAACUCAGCUUUUUCAUUUAUGCUUUAAAUCCUUUUAUUAUCUCAUCACAACCAUCUUUGACUGUUUAUCAGAAAUGGUUCUCUUUUGUACAUUGACCAUUAUUUUAUAGAUCACAUUUAAGUUAAUAUAAAUCAUGCCUAUAAAUUUCAGCCUGCUUAUUUUUUAUAAUCUAGUCAGAUAUCAGCUAGACAUAUUGUUACCAAGUUUGGAGAGCCUUGGGAUAAGCUAGUUUCAAAACUGGCUGUUAGCAUCCCUCAGUUGUGUUUUGGGAGCAAAGGACACCCUUAAAAAAGGGAGGCAGUUAUAUUUUGUGAGCAUUAUAAAAUAAACUUAAAUUCUCAUAAAAUUAGUGAAUAUGUUUGGAACAGUGUGAAUUACGUGUGUGCUACAUGAAGUAUAUAGAAUUCAUUUGAAGUAGGAAGUCUGGCCUUACCUCAAAAGACAGUCAUUCAAUUAAGCAGUUAAACAUAAGCCACCAUAAGAAGUUUUUUUGAUACUUAGAGAGAGAAAGGCAACGUGUAUUAAAAUUCCGGGACCAUUAUCUCAGGAGUGCUGUGUUAUUAUUGACUGGGGGCCUGCUGGGAAGCUAGAAAUAUAUCUAAAAUGUGGCAGGUGGUUAAUUAGAGCAUAUGAAUAAAUAUAUAUAAAUUUGUUAAAGCGUUCACUUAUGGUAAACUAUACCUCAAUUAAAAAGAAAAAAUAUGCACAAAGAAAAUAAAUAAUGAAUGGAAAUAUGAGCCUCUAAAAUCAAAGUUAGAAAAGCAGAUAUUCAAAUUUGCAGAGCUGAUUGUCAACUGGAAUGAUUGUGAUAGAAUCAAGUCUCACUAGCUCAUUGGAAAUAGGAUUUGUUAAGGUAAUGAUGGUUAAUGAUUUUUCAGCAUAAUAACAGCCAAGUUAAUGUAUGGGUGCGUGUGUGUAUCCAUAGGUGUAUGUUUUUACAUGCGUAUUUUUAUUGUAAAAUUAACAUGUUUAUUGAAAACAAGAAAGCACAGAAAAUAUCAACUUAAGUAAAGAUCAACAUAAUUUAGUUCAAAAUUAUAUUCAACAGUGCAUUAUUUCAAUGUUUUUUAUCUUAAUCCAUUUGCUUGAAAGCAUUGAUAUAUGCUCCAAAUUUCCUCCCAGAUUCCACUUGGGGAAAUAUUUAGUAUAUUGGAUUAUGAAAUGAUUUAUCUUUACCUAUAUUAUUAGUAAAGUUCUUAAAAUUUUUAGCCUGUUACUGUCUAUGUGAUUAGUGAUAUUGUUCACAUGACUAAAAUUCAAAGAUAAAAUAUGAUUAUAUUUUAUGGGUGAAAGUUAGGAAGCAAAAUAGCAUAUUAAUACAUUUAACUAAAGUAGUAUUCAUUUGGAUAAUCAAGGUCAAACACUUCAAAAAUAAUAAUUUUAAAGUUAAUGCUUUCAAAAAAUAAAUUAGCAAAAAUUAUUUACUUUGUUUCUUAAAAAGAAGAAUUAUUGAAAAAAAUUCUACCAUCAAAAAAUAGUUGUUCUAUGCCUAGUUUAUUUUAGUCACUGAAUAAGACUGAGCCCUUGACCUCAUAUUUUUUCCUGCCUCACCAUUAGCAGUUAGGUUUAGCUAUGCAAACCUUUAUUUAUUCAACAUAUAUAAAAUACUUAGUAUGCAGUAGAUGUUAUUCUAAGUGCUUGGUAGAUAUCAACACAUUUAAUAAUCAAAACAACUCUAAGAGGUAAUUAGUACUAUUAUCUCCAUUUUAUUACUGAGGAAACCAAAGCACAAAGAGAGAAAGAAAAGAAAGAGAAAAAAGGAAGAAAGAAAAGAAAGAUGAAAGAAAGAAAGAGAAAGAAGAGAGAGGGAGAGAGAGAAAGAAAGAGAAGGAAAGAAAGAAGGAAGAAGAAAGAAAGAAAGAAAGAAAGAAAGAAAGAAAGAAAGAAAGAAAGAAAGAAAGAAAGAAAGAAAGAAAGAAAAAAGGAAGGAAGGAAAAGAAACACAUGGAAAGUGGUGAGGAUGGGGAGGUGUCAAACAAGACCUAACCUCUCAACAAUCAGCUGGACACUGUUGUGUAAGAAUGUGAAGCUUGGCACUGCUGCAGCCAUCUUGUUCCAGGAAGGGUAAAACCUGAGGUUAGAAGCCAACAUCCUAAUGAUGGCAGAGAAGACAAAGAGAACCAGAGUCUAAAUGACAUUGUUGAGUUAGAUCACUACACUACCUCUAGUCUUCUUUUUAUGUGUGAUAAUAAAUCUCACUUAUACUUAAGCCAUUUGAAGUUGAGUCUAAUGUUCAUUUCAGACCAAAGCAGCUUAACUGACAUGUUCUCCGCUUUGUUACCCUAUCCAGUUGUUUUCAUGCAGGAAAUAAAUCUCAAAU
RNAcentral lists this long non-coding RNA (3816 nucleotides) under Homo sapiens (human). Its description in RNAcentral is "non-protein coding LINC01322:15". Lineage: Eukaryota; Metazoa; Chordata; Mammalia; Primates; Hominidae. The record is from RNAcentral.